RNAcentral lists this ribosomal RNA (253 nucleotides) under uncultured bacterium. RNAcentral's name for it is "partial 16S ribosomal RNA". It matches the Rfam family "Bacterial small subunit ribosomal RNA", at positions 524 to 776 of the family's 1533-position model. The record is from RNAcentral.
UACGUAGGGGGCAGGCGUUGUCCGGAUUUAUUGGGCGUAAAGAGCGUGUAGGCGGCCUGAAAGGUCAGCUGUGAAAACUCGAGGCUCAACCUCGAGACGUCGGUUGAAACCAUCUGGCUAGAGUCCGGAAGAGGAGAGUGGAAUUCCCGGUGUAGCGGUGAAAUGCGCAGAUAUCGGGAAGAACACCCGUGGCGAAGGCGGCUCUCUGGGACGGUACUGACGCUGAGACGCGAAAGCGUGGGGAGCGAACAGG